This is a non-coding RNA of Phascolarctos cinereus (koala), 522 nucleotides long. NCBI's taxonomy places the organism in Eukaryota, Metazoa, Chordata, Mammalia, Diprotodontia, Phascolarctidae. The record is from RefSeq and is a predicted model, not a curated record.
AACAUAGUAGGUGCUCAAUGUUUAUUGAAUUAAAACUAUUCACAGCAAGGAUUAUUUCUUACAGAGAUCUAUUUUAAGAUGUUAUUGCCAGGAAAGAGAAUCUAGGGGCAGGGCUUGCCUUAGACCCUGAGAAAUUAACUCAUGUUCCAGAAAUCCUUCCUGGCUCUGCUUCCUCAUUGGUCCCCAUGCAGUGGUGAUGAAGAGGAGUGAUGAUGUAGAAUAUCCUGCUAUUCUGGACAGCAGAUCCCAAUUGUGUUCCAGUCAUUUUAUAAGAAAAUAGAAGGCAUCUACCUCUACAACCUGUGAAGAGGAAACACCCACUUGAUGACAGGCUUCACUACAGAAGAAGUCACAUAACCUGACUCUUCAAACUCAGGAUGGGAUGGGAGCUACAAAGGUUAUCCAAACAAUUUUUAACAGUACUGCCCUACACACAAAAACAACAUGGACUGGUCAGCCAACAUUAAACAUCCCGGACAAGUCAUAGCACCUGGUCCUCAGCAAGUGUGCAUUAGCUAACAG